This 464-nucleotide ribosomal RNA is filed under the name Vreelandella stevensii. RNAcentral's name for it is "partial 16S ribosomal RNA". It matches the Rfam family "Bacterial small subunit ribosomal RNA", at positions 338 to 795 of the family's 1533-position model. The record is from RNAcentral. Lineage: Bacteria; Pseudomonadati; Pseudomonadota; Gammaproteobacteria; Oceanospirillales; Halomonadaceae.
CCUACGGGAGGCAGCAGUGGGGAAUAUUGGACAAUGGGCGAAAGCCUGAUCCAGCCAUGCCGCGUGUGUGAAGAAGGCCUUCGGGUUGUAAAGCACUUUCAGUGGGGAAGAAAGCCUUGGGGCUAAUACCCUCGAGGAAGGACAUCACCCACAGAAGAAGCACCGGCUAACUCCGUGCCAGCAGCCGCGGUAAUACGGAGGGUGCGAGCGUUAAUCGGAAUUACUGGGCGUAAAGCGCGCGUAGGCGGUCUGAUAAGCCGGUUGUGAAAGCCCUGGGCUCAACCUGGGAACGGCAUCCGGAACUGUCAGGCUAGAGUGCAGGAGAGGAAGGUAGAAUUCCCGGUGUAGCGGUGAAAUGCGUAGAGAUCGGGAGGAAUACCAGUGGCGAAGGCGGCCUUCUGGACUGACACUGACGCUGAGGUGCGAAAGCGUGGGUAGCAAACAGGAUUAGAUACCCGGUAGUC